This 497-nucleotide ribosomal RNA is filed under the name uncultured bacterium. Its description in RNAcentral is "partial 16S ribosomal RNA". It matches the Rfam family "Bacterial small subunit ribosomal RNA", at positions 28 to 507 of the family's 1533-position model. The record is from RNAcentral.
GAUGAACGCUGGCGGCGUGCCUAAUACAUGCCAGUCGAGCGAACAGAUGAGGAGCUUGCUCCUCUGACGUUAGCGGCGGACGGGUGAGUAACACGUGGAUAACCUACCUAUAAGACUGGGAUAACUUCGGGAAACCGGAGCUAAUACCGGAUAAUAUAUUGAACCGCAUGGUUCAAUAGUGAAAGACGGUUUUGCUGUCACUUAUAGAUGGAUCCGCGCCGCAUUAGCUAGUUGGUAAGGUAACGGCUUACCAAGGCAACGAUGCGUAGCCGACCUGAUGGGGUGAUCGGCCACACGGGAACUGAGACACGGUCCAGACUCCUACGGGAGGCAGCAGUAGGGAAUCUUCCGCAAUGGGCGAAAGCCUGACGGAGCAACGCCGCGUGAGUGAUGAAGGUCUUCGGAUCGUAAAACUCUGUUAUUAGGGAAGAACAAAUGUGUAAGUAACUAUGCACGUCUUGACGGUACCUAAUCAGAAAGCCACGGCUAACUACGUG